Molecule: ribosomal RNA, 492 nt
Filed under: uncultured bacterium
Lineage: Bacteria
Description: partial 16S ribosomal RNA
Rfam family: Bacterial small subunit ribosomal RNA
Source: RNAcentral
AGUGAACGCUGGCGGUAGGCCUAACACAUGCAAGUCGAACGGCAGCACAGUAAGAGCUUGCUCUUACGGGUGGCGAGUGGCGGACGGGUGAGGAAUACAUCGGAAUCUACUUUUUCGUGGGGGAUAACGUAGGGAAACUUACGCUAAUACCGCAUACGACCUACGGGUGAAAGCAGGGGAUCUUCGGACCUUGCGCGAUUGAAUGAGCCGAUGUCGGAUUAGCGAGUUGGCGGGGUAAAGGCCCACCAAGGCGACGAUCCGUAGCUGGUCUGAGAGGAUGAUCAGCCACACUGGAACUGGAACACGGUCCAGACUCCUACGGGAGGCAGCAGUGGGGAAUAUUGGACAAUGGGCGCAAGCCUGAUCCAGCCAUACCGCGUGGGUGAAGAAGGCCUUCGGGUUGUAAAGCCCUUUUGUUGGGAAAGAAAAGCAGCAGGUUAAUACCCCGCUGUUCUGACGGUACCCAAAGAAUAAGCACCGGCUAACUUCGUG